RNAcentral lists this ribosomal RNA (443 nucleotides) under uncultured bacterium. Its description in RNAcentral is "partial 16S ribosomal RNA". It matches the Rfam family "Bacterial small subunit ribosomal RNA", at positions 338 to 795 of the family's 1533-position model. The record is from RNAcentral.
CCUACGGGUGGCUGCAGUGGGGGAUAUUGGACAAUGGGGGAAACCCUGAUCCAGCGACGCCGCGUGAGUGAAGAAGUAUUUCGGUAUGUAAAGCUCUAUCAGCAGGGAAGAAAGAAAUGACGGUACCUGAGUAAGAAGCCCCGGCUAACUUUGUGCCAGCCGCCGCGGUAAUACGUGGGGGGCAGGCGUUCUCCGGAAUUACUGGGUGUAAAGGGAGCGUAGACGGUAAUGCAAGUCUGGAGGGAAAGGCGGGGGCACAACCCCCGGACUGCUCUGGAAACUGGGGAACUGGAGUGCAGGAGAGGCAGGCGGAAUUCCUAGUGUAGCGGUGAAAUGCGUAGAUAUUAGGAGGAACACCAGUGGCGAAGGCGGCCUGCUGGACUGUAACUGACGUUGAGGCUCGAAAGCGUGGGGAGCAAACAGGAUUAGAUACCCCGGUAGUC